CAGCCGUAAACUAUGCGCGUUAGGUGUACUGGUGACCACAAGUCACCGGGGUACCGAAGGGAAACCGUGAAACGUGCCGCCUGGGAAGUACGGUCACAAGGCUGAAACUUAAAGGAAUUGGCGGGGGAGCACCACAACAAGUGGAGCCUGCGGUUUAAUUGGACUCAACGCCGGGAAGCUCACCGGAUAGGACAGCAGAAUGAUUGCCGGGCUGAAGACCCUGCAUGACUAGCUGAGAGGUGGUGCAUGGCGUCAGUGACU
This 261-nucleotide ribosomal RNA is filed under the name uncultured archaeon. RNAcentral's name for it is "partial 16S ribosomal RNA". It matches the Rfam family "Archaeal small subunit ribosomal RNA", at positions 748 to 1008 of the family's 1478-position model. The record is from RNAcentral.